ACUAAGCGUACACGGUGGAUGCCCUGGCAGUCAGAGGCGAUGAAGGACGUGCUAAUCUGCGAUAAGCGUCGGUAAGGUGAUAUGAACCGUUAUAACCGGCGAUUUCCGAAUGGGGAAACCCAGUGUGUUUCGUCACACUAUCAUUAACUGAAUCCAUAGGUUAAUGAGGCGAACCGGGGGAACUGAAACAUCUAAGUACCCCGAGGAAAAGAAAUCAACCGAGAUUCCCCCAGUAGCGGCGAGCGAACGGGGAGCAGCCCAGAGCCUGAAUCAGUAUGUGUGUUAGUGGAAGCGUCUGGAAAGGCGCGCGAUACAGGGUGACAGCCCCGUACACAAAAAUGCACAUGCUGUGAGCUCGAUGAGUAGGGCGGGACACGUGGUAUCCUGUCUGAAUAUGGGGGGACCAUCCUCCAAGGCUAAAUACUCCUGACUGACCGAUAGUGAACCAGUACCGUGAGGGAAAGGCGAAAAGAACCCCGGCGAGGGGAGUGAAAAAGAACCUGAAACCGUGUACGUACAAGCAGUGGGAGCACAGAGCAAUCUGUGUGACUGCGUACCUUUUGUAUAAUGGGUCAGCGACUUAUAUUCUGUAGCAAGGUUAACCGAAUAGGGGAGCCGAAGGGAAACCGAGUCUUAACUGGGCGUUAAGUUGCAGGGUAUAGACCCGAAACCCGGUGAUCUAGCCAUGGGCAGGUUGAAGGUUGGGUAACACUAACUGGAGGACCGAACCGACUAAUGUUGAAAAAUUAGCGGAUGACUUGUGGCUGGGGGUGAAAGGCCAAUCAAACCGGGAGAUAGCUGGUUCUCCCCGAAAGCUAUUUAGGUAGCGCCUCGUGAAUUCAUCUCCGGGGGUAGAGCACUGUUUCGGCAAGGGGGUCAUCCCGACUUACCAACCCGAUGCAAACUGCGAAUACCGGAGAAUGUUAUCACGGGAGACACACGGCGGGUGCUAACGUCCGUCGUGAAGAGGGAAACAACCCAGACCGCCAGCUAAGGUCCCAAAGUCAUGGUUAAGUGGGAAACGAUGUGGGAAGGCCCAGACAGCCAGGAUGUUGGCUUAGAAGCAGCCAUCAUUUAAAGAAAGCGUAAUAGCUCACUGGUCGAGUCGGCCUGCGCGGAAGAUGUAACGGGGCUAAACCAUGCACCGAAGCUGCGGCAGCGACGCUUAUGCGUUGUUGGGUAGGGGAGCGUUCUGUAAGCCUGUGAAGGUGUGCUGUGAGGUAUGCUGGAGGUAUCAGAAGUGCGAAUGCUGACAUAAGUAACGAUAAAGCGGGUGAAAAGCCCGCUCGCCGGAAGACCAAGGGUUCCUGUCCAACGUUAAUCGGGGCAGGGUGAGUCGACCCCUAAGGCGAGGCCGAAAGGCGUAGUCGAUGGGAAACAGGUUAAUAUUCCUGUACUUGGUGUUACUGCGAAGGGGGGACGGAGAAGGCUAUGUUGGCCGGGCGACGGUUGUCCCGGUUUAAGCGUGUAGGCUGGUUUUCCAGGCAAAUCCGGAAAAUCAAGGCUGAGGCGUGAUGACGAGGCACUACGGUGCUGAAGCAACAAAUGCCCUGCUUCCAGGAAAAGCCUCUAAGCAUCAGGUAACAUCAAAUCGUACCCCAAACCGACACAGGUGGUCAGGUAGAGAAUACCAAGGCGCUUGAGAGAACUCGGGUGAAGGAACUAGGCAAAAUGGUGCCGUAACUUCGGGAGAAGGCACGCUGAUAUGUAGGUGAAGCGACUUGCUCGUGGAGCUGAAAUCAGUCGAAGAUACCAGCUGGCUGCAACUGUUUAUUAAAAACACAGCACUGUGCAAACACGAAAGUGGACGUAUACGGUGUGACGCCUGCCCGGUGCCGGAAGGUUAAUUGAUGGGGUCAGCGCAAGCGAAGCUCUUGAUCGAAGCCCCGGUAAACGGCGGCCGUAACUAUAACGGUCCUAAGGUAGCGAAAUUCCUUGUCGGGUAAGUUCCGACCUGCACGAAUGGCGUAAUGAUGGCCAGGCUGUCUCCACCCGAGACUCAGUGAAAUUGAACUCGCUGUGAAGAUGCAGUGUACCCGCGGCAAGACGGAAAGACCCCGUGAACCUUUACUAUAGCUUGACACUGAACAUUGAGCCUUGAUGUGUAGGAUAGGUGGGAGGCUUUGAAGUGUGGACGCCAGUCUGCAUGGAGCCGACCUUGAAAUACCACCCUUUAAUGUUUGAUGUUCUAACGUUGACCCGUAAUCCGGGUUGCGGACAGUGUCUGGUGGGUAGUUUGACUGGGGCGGUCUCCUCCUAAAGAGUAACGGAGGAGCACGAAGGUUGGCUAAUCCUGGUCGGACAUCAGGAGGUUAGUGCAAUGGCAUAAGCCAGCUUGACUGCGAGCGUGACGGCGCGAGCAGGUGCGAAAGCAGGUCAUAGUGAUCCGGUGGUUCUGAAUGGAAGGGCCAUCGCUCAACGGAUAAAAGGUACUCCGGGGAUAACAGGCUGAUACCGCCCAAGAGUUCAUAUCGACGGCGGUGUUUGGCACCUCGAUGUCGGCUCAUCACAUCCUGGGGCUGAAGUAGGUCCCAAGGGUAUGGCUGUUCGCCAUUUAAAGUGGUACGCGAGCUGGGUUUAGAACGUCGUGAGACAGUUCGGUCCCUAUCUGCCGUGGGCGCUGGAGAACUGAGGGGGGCUGCUCCUAGUACGAGAGGACCGGAGUGGACGCAUCACUGGUGUUCGGGUUGUCAUGCCAAUGGCACUGCCCGGUAGCUAAAUGCGGAAGAGAUAAGUGCUGAAAGCAUCUAAGCACGAAACUUGCCCCGAGAUGAGUUCUCCCUGACUCCUUGAGAGUCCUGAAGGAACGUUGAAGACGACGACGUUGAUAGGCCGGGUGUGUAAGCGCAGCGAUGCGUUGAGCUAACCGGUACUAAUGAACCGUGAGGCUUAACC
RNAcentral lists this ribosomal RNA (2895 nucleotides) under Escherichia coli. RNAcentral describes it as "bacterial LSU rRNA". It matches the Rfam family "Bacterial large subunit ribosomal RNA". The record is from RNAcentral. Lineage: Bacteria; Pseudomonadati; Pseudomonadota; Gammaproteobacteria; Enterobacterales; Enterobacteriaceae.